RNAcentral lists this ribosomal RNA (351 nucleotides) under uncultured bacterium. RNAcentral's name for it is "bacterial SSU rRNA". It matches the Rfam family "Bacterial small subunit ribosomal RNA", at positions 22 to 356 of the family's 1533-position model. The record is from RNAcentral.
GCUCAGGAUGAACGCUGGCGGCGUGCUUAACACAUGCAAGUCGAACGGGGAACAUUUUAUGGAAGCUUCGGUGGAAAUAGCUUGUUCCUAGUGGCGGACGGGUGAGUAACGCGUGGGUAACCUGCCUCACACUGGGGGAUAACAGUCAGAAAUGACUGCUAAUACCGCAUAAGCGCACGGGAUUGCAUGAUCCAGUGUGAAAAACUCCGGUGGUGUGAGAUGGACCCGCGUUGGAUUAGCCAGUUGGCAGGGUAACGGCCUACUAAAGCGACGAUCCAUAGCCGGCCUGAGAGGGUGGACGGCCACAUUGGGACUGAGACACGGCCCAGACUCCUACGGGAGGCAGCAGUA